This 405-nucleotide ribosomal RNA is filed under the name uncultured bacterium. Its description in RNAcentral is "partial 16S ribosomal RNA". It matches the Rfam family "Bacterial small subunit ribosomal RNA", at positions 30 to 526 of the family's 1533-position model. The record is from RNAcentral.
AUUGAACGCUAGCGGGAUGCUUUACACAUGCAAGUCGAACGAGUGGCGGACGGGUGAGUAAUAUAUCGGAACGUGCCCCGUAGCGGGGGAUAACUACUCGGAAACGUGGCUAAUACCGCAUACUCUUGGAGCGGCCUAUAUCGGAUUAGCUAGUUGGUGGGGUAAAGGCUCACCAGGGCAACGAUCCGUAGCUGGUUUGAGAGGACGACCAGCCAAACUGGGACUGAGACACGGCCCAGACUCCUACGGGAGGCAGCAGUGGGGAAUUUUGGACAAGGGGGGAAACCCUGAUGCAGCAAUCCCGCGUGUAUGAGAAGGCCUUCGGGUUGUAAAGUACUUUUGGCAGAGAAGCGGUAUCUGCAGAAUAAGCAACGGCUAACUACGUGCCAGCAGCCGCGGUAAUUC